Molecule: ribosomal RNA, 715 nt
Filed under: Salmonella enterica subsp. enterica
Lineage: Bacteria; Pseudomonadati; Pseudomonadota; Gammaproteobacteria; Enterobacterales; Enterobacteriaceae
Description: partial 23S ribosomal RNA
Rfam family: Bacterial large subunit ribosomal RNA
Source: RNAcentral
UACCGUGAGGGAAAGGCGAAAAGAACCCCGGCGAGGGGAGUGAAAAAGAACCUGAAACCGUGUACGUACAAGCAGUGGGAGCACCCUUUGGGGUGUGACUGCGUACCUUUUGUAUAAUGGGUCAGCGACUUAUAUUCUGUAGCAAGGUUAACCAUAUAGGGGAGCCGGAGGGAAACCGAGUCUUAACCGGGCGUUAAGUUGCAGGGUAUAGACCCGAAACCCGGUGAUCUAGCCAUGGGCAGGUUGAAGGUUGGGUAACACUAACUGGAGGACCGAACCGACUAAUGUUGAAAAAUUAGCGGAUGACCUGUGGCUGGGGGUGAAAGGCCAAUCAAACCGGGAGAUAGCUGGUUCUCCCCGAAAGCUAUUUAGGUAGCGCCUCGUGAAUUCAUCUCCGGGGGUAGAGCACUGUUUCGGCUAGGGGGCCAUCCCGGCUUACCAACCCGAUGCAAACUGCGAAUACCGGAGAAUGUUAUCACGGGAGACACACGGCGGGUGCUAACGUCCGUCGUGAAGAGGGAAACAACCCAGACCGCCAGCUAAGGUCCCAAAGUCAUGGUUAAGUGGGAAACGAUGUGGGAAGGCCCAGACAGCCAGGAUGUUGGCUUAGAAGCAGCCAUCAUUUAAAGAAAGCGUAAUAGCUCACUGGUCGAGUCGGCCUGCGCGGAAGAUGUAACGGGGCUAAACCAUGCACCGAAGCUGCGGCAGCGACGCU